Molecule: ribosomal RNA, 1542 nt
Filed under: Escherichia coli
Lineage: Bacteria; Pseudomonadati; Pseudomonadota; Gammaproteobacteria; Enterobacterales; Enterobacteriaceae
Also listed under: 2 other names
Description: bacterial SSU rRNA
Rfam family: Bacterial small subunit ribosomal RNA
Source: RNAcentral
AAAUUGAAGAGUUUGAUCAUGGCUCAGAUUGAACGCUGGCGGCAGGCCUAACACAUGCAAGUCGAACGGUAACAGGAAACAGCUUGCUGUUUCGCUGACGAGUGGCGGACGGGUGAGUAAUGUCUGGGAAACUGCCUGAUGGAGGGGGAUAACUACUGGAAACGGUAGCUAAUACCGCAUAAUGUCGCAAGACCAAAGAGGGGGACCUUCGGGCCUCUUGCCAUCGGAUGUGCCCAGAUGGGAUUAGCUGGUAGGUGGGGUAACGGCUCACCUAGGCGACGAUCCCUAGCUGGUCUGAGAGGAUGACCAGCCACACUGGAACUGAGACACGGUCCAGACUCCUACGGGAGGCAGCAGUGGGGAAUAUUGCACAAUGGGCGCAAGCCUGAUGCAGCCAUGCCGCGUGUAUGAAGAAGGCCUUCGGGUUGUAAAGUACUUUCAGCGGGGAGGAAGGGAGUAAAGUUAAUACCUUUGCUCAUUGACGUUACCCGCAGAAGAAGCACCGGCUAACUCCGUGCCAGCAGCCGCGGUAAUACGGAGGGUGCAAGCGUUAAUCGGAAUUACUGGGCGUAAAGCGCACGCAGGCGGUUUGUUAAGUCAGAUGUGAAAUCCCCGGGCUCAACCUGGGAACUGCAUCUGAUACUGGCAAGCUUGAGUCUCGUAGAGGGGGGUAGAAUUCCAGGUGUAGCGGUGAAAUGCGUAGAGAUCUGGAGGAAUACCGGUGGCGAAGGCGGCCCCCUGGACGAAGACUGACGCUCAGGUGCGAAAGCGUGGGGAGCAAACAGGAUUAGAUACCCUGGUAGUCCACGCCGUAAACGAUGUCGACUUGGAGGUUGUGCCCUUGAGGCGUGGCUUCCGGAGCUAACGCGUUAAGUCGACCGCCUGGGGAGUACGGCCGCAAGGUUAAAACUCAAAUGAAUUGACGGGGGCCCGCACAAGCGGUGGAGCAUGUGGUUUAAUUCGAUGCAACGCGAAGAACCUUACCUGGUCUUGACAUCCACGGAAGUUUUCAGAGAUGAGAAUGUGCCUUCGGGAACCGUGAGACAGGUGCUGCAUGGCUGUCGUCAGCUCGUGUUGUGAAAUGUUGGGUUAAGUCCCGCAACGAGCGCAACCCUUAUCCUUUGUUGCCAGCGGUCCGGCCGGGAACUCAAAGGAGACUGCCAGUGAUAAACUGGAGGAAGGUGGGGAUGACGUCAAGUCAUCAUGGCCCUUACGACCAGGGCUACACACGUGCUACAAUGGCGCAUACAAAGAGAAGCGACCUCGCGAGAGCAAGCGGACCUCAUAAAGUGCGUCGUAGUCCGGAUUGGAGUCUGCAACUCGACUCCAUGAAGUCGGAAUCGCUAGUAAUCGUGGAUCAGAAUGCCACGGUGAAUACGUUCCCGGGCCUUGUACACACCGCCCGUCACACCAUGGGAGUGGGUUGCAAAAGAAGUAGGUAGCUUAACCUUCGGGAGGGCGCUUACCACUUUGUGAUUCAUGACUGGGGUGAAGUCGUAACAAGGUAACCGUAGGGGAACCUGCGGUUGGAUCACCUCCUUA